This 386-nucleotide ribosomal RNA is filed under the name uncultured bacterium. RNAcentral's name for it is "bacterial SSU rRNA". It matches the Rfam family "Bacterial small subunit ribosomal RNA", at positions 29 to 416 of the family's 1533-position model. The record is from RNAcentral.
AUUGAACGCUGGCGGUAGGCCUAACACAUGCAAGUCGAACGCGAAAGUCCUUCGGGAUGAGUAGAGUGGCGGACGGGUGAGUAACGCGUAGGAAUCUGUCCUGUAGUGGGGGAGUAACGUUUCGAAAGGAACGCUAAUACCGCAUACGCCCUACCGGGGAAAGGACGGGGAGUCUUCGGACCUCGUGCUAGAGGAGGAGCCUGCGUCGGAUUAGCUAGUUGGUGAGGUAAAGGCUCACCAAGGCGACGAUCCGUAGCUGGUCUGAGAGGAUGAUCAGCCACACCGGAACUGAGACACGGUCCGGACUCCUACGGGAGGCAGCAGUGGGGAAUAUUGCGCAAUGGGCGAAAGCCUGACGCAGCCAUACCGCGUGUGUGAAGAAGGCC